CUCAGUAUCAGAAGCAUCCAAGUCUGCUACUCCCUCAGUCUUUCUGUGACCCACUGUGCAACACAAACGACUCCCAGUUGAUCAUAUCCUUUUCCUGUCAAUGUGACCACCUAAUUACUUCCAGCAGAUAAAUAUCAGCGUAUACUGCAUGUCCUGCAUAAAGACUGGGUCGGAGGAGACACAGAGACAUGUGGGAUUUCAGCAGAGGUUUCUCAAAUGGGCUGUGGAAUCACUGUUCUUACAAUGAGGACACAUUUGUGUGGAAACCACACAGAGAUCCGUUCUCCACCCAACCCAUCCUCCUCUCACAGAACAGAGCACAGCAGAACUGAAGAGUUGUUGACAGCCACCAUCAGAAGAACCACUUUAAGGAGAAGCCAGAGCUGAAGAAGUUGGAGAGACCAGCAGGAAGAAAACUCAAGUAAGCCCUUACUAAUGGAUAGGGAAAUCUCCAUUGUUCAGGGUUUAUUGUCAGGAGUUUACACAUACAAGUUCACCAAACAGUCAACACAGAUCUACGCUGCAAGUGCUGCAUUGCAAAUGCUGUGGAAGACACUGAGGCUCAAGGACACGAAGAAACGUUCUCAUUUCUGUAUAACUGAUGGGACCACCAUCACUUCACCAGGUCCACUAAUCAGCUUCAGGAUCUUUGGUGUUCUAGCUUGUGCCCAGUCAUUAUUCCAGGUGGUGCUUGUAGAUCAACUCACUGAGGUUGUUUCAAGAAAGGCAGAUAUCAGUCUCCCCUUCACCAGUGGCUCCAUCCUCAUCCUCAUCCUCAUCCUCAUCCUCAUCCUCGUCCUCAUCCUCAGCACCUUCUCUCUUUUAUGCACAAGAUAGUGAGGCACAGAGAAUGUAACUCCCCAUUGAAGGUUCCUCAGGAUGAAGUAGUAUCCUCUCUCAUGUGCCACUGGCCUAUCCACGGAGGCCACCCUGGAAAGGUGGGGUGCAGAGCGGAAGGUCUGUACUGCGCAUGAUGCCUAAUGGCUGCAAUUCCAGCUCUGAAGGUAACCAGAAGUUCCAGCCUUCCAGAUGUCACUCAGUUUGUAUGUGGAGAACUAUACCAUUCUAGGCCCCAGUCCAACUGAUACUCUGAGGUAGCUGACCCUACCAUGUGUCUCUGGUAUGGAGGUAUUACCUCUCCCUUCAGCUCAGCUAUCCUUCAGCUCAGCUAUCGGACUCUGGCAGUCUCUGCUUGGAGGCUACCACCAGGGGAGCUAAGACAAAAGCCCCCUGCAGACUGUCAGUUCUUCCUUGAUGCAGCUGCCUGGAAGUUCACACCUCACACCUACAACGCCUACUGCCUGAAGACAUCCGAGUUGCUGGGGACUUUGGUGCCUGACCUUCUCUGCAGUGUUUAUGUUAUACAAAUAUCAUGUAACCUAGAGAUUCGGUUUCAGAUUUUCAUGUACCUAUAUAUGUUCUGGAUAUUCUAAGUAAAGUGGAAUCCUUGAUUGGGACGCAA
This is a long non-coding RNA of Mastomys coucha (southern multimammate mouse), 1462 nucleotides long. RefSeq lists it as uncharacterized. The record is from RefSeq and is a predicted model, not a curated record. Lineage: Eukaryota; Metazoa; Chordata; Mammalia; Rodentia; Muridae. The transcript has 4 exons.